This 1437-nucleotide ribosomal RNA is filed under the name uncultured Acinetobacter sp. RNAcentral's name for it is "bacterial SSU rRNA". It matches the Rfam family "Bacterial small subunit ribosomal RNA". Lineage: Bacteria; Pseudomonadati; Pseudomonadota; Gammaproteobacteria; Moraxellales; Moraxellaceae. The record is from RNAcentral.
UAACACAUGCAAGUCGAGCGGGGAUUGGGUGCUUGCACCUAAUCUUAGCGGCGGACGGGUGAGUAAUGCUUAGGAAUCUGCCAUUUAGUGGGGGACAACAUUCCGAAAGGGAUGCUAAUACCGCAUACGUCCUACGGGAGAAAGCAGGGGAUCUUCGGACCUUGCGCUAAAUGAUGAGCCUAAGUCGGAUUAGCUAGUUGGUGGGGUAAAGGCCUACCAAGGCGACGAUCUGUAGCGGGUCUGAGAGGAUGAUCCGCCACACUGGGACUGAGACACGGCCCAGACUCCUACGGGAGGCAGCAGUGGGGAAUAUUGGACAAUGGGCGCAAGCCUGAUCCAGCCAUGCCGCGUGUGUGAAGAAGGCCUUUUGGUUGUAAAGCAAUUAAGCGAGGAGGAGGAUACCUGGAUUAAUACUCUAGGAUAGUGGACGUUACUCGCAGAAUAAGCACCGGCUAACUCUGUGCCAGCAGCCGCGGUAAUACAGAGGGUGCGAGCGUUAAUCGGAUUUACUGGGCGUAAAGCGUGCGUAGGCGGCUGAUUAAGUCGGAUGUGAAAUCCCUGAGCUUAACUUAGGAAUUGCAUUCGAUACUGGUCAGCUAGAGUAUGGGAGAGGAUGGUAGAAUUCCAGGUGUAGCGGUGAAAUGCGUAGAGAUCUGGAGGAAUACCGAUGGCGAAGGCAGCCAUCUGGCCUAAUACUGACGCUGAGGUACGAAAGCAUGGGGAGCAAACAGGAUUAGAUACCCUGGUAGUCCAUGCCGUAAACGAUGUCUACUAGCCGUUGGGGCCUUUGAGGCUUUAGUGGCGCAGCUAACGCGAUAAGUAGACCGCCUGGGGAGUACGGUCGCAAGACUAAAACUCAAAUGAAUUGACGGGGGCCCGCACAAGCGGUGGAGCAUGUGGUUUAAUUCGAUGCAACGCGAAGAACCUUACCUGGCCUUGACAUAGUAGAAACUUUCCAGAGAUGGAUUGGUGCCUUCGGGAAUCUACAUACAGGUGCUGCAUGGCUGUCGUCAGCUCGUGUCGUGAGAUGUUGGGUUAAGUCCCGCAACGAGCGCAACCCUUUUCCUUACUUGCCAGCAUUUCGGAUGGGAACUUUAAGGAUACUGCCAGUGACAAACUGGAGGAAGGCGGGGACGACGUCAAGUCAUCAUGGCCCUUACGGCCAGGGCUACACACGUGCUACAAUGGUCGGUACAAAGGGUUGCUACCUAGCGAUAGGAUGCUAAUCUCAAAAAGCCGAUCGUAGUCUGGAUCGCAGUCUGCAACUCGACUGCGUGAAGUCGGAAUCGCUAGUAAUCGCGGAUCAGAAUGCCGCGGUGAAUACGUUCCCGGGCCUUGUACACACCGCCCGUCACACCAUGGGAGUUUGUUGCACCAGAAGUAGGUAGUCUAACCUUAGGGGGGACGCUUACCACGGUGUGGCCGAUGACUGGGGUG